GUUUCUUCCGUUAUCUCAAAUAUGUACUCUCUCUUUCUUCAUGAGUUAUCGCUGCCAAGCCCCCGUCGUCCCCUCAACGUCCGACCAUGACAUACAUAUACACACUCUACUCUCUUCCGCUCUUUCCUAGGAGUCGUGUGGAGCACAAAGUUGGAUCUUUUGGACGAGCUAGAGUGAGGGAAAUGGUGCUAGAUUGGUGUCCCCAUUGAGGUUUGGGAUAUGAUAAGCUAGGUUUUAUAGGUUUAAAGUAUUUCAAAUUUGCUUGGCCUUGUUGUGAGUGUGAUGAACAUGAGGGGUCGACUCAUUGCUGGUUCUCCUAAUCAAAAUGAGUUCAUUCUUAUCAAUGAUGAGAAGAAUUCAUUGAUCAGAACGAAAGGGUAAGAUUCUAAUAGUAUUCUUUAUUUUGAUUUAUCUUUUGAAUUGGGGAAUACCCAUUUUUACAAUUUUUUUUAUUCAGUUUAAUAAUUAUUGGAAAAGGGAAAAAAGGCAGGGCUUUCCCUACCGUUUUGAUGAAAUUUGGGUAUCUUUACUUACUUGAUGUGCUUGUUAAUGGAUAAUUGAUUUUGUGCCUUUUGCUUUUCUUACUCCAUUUUGUUAUGCUUUAGUUAUGCUCAUUUCAAUGUAUGUCUCUGUCUACCGUGGACUCAACUUCACUUAUCAAAAAUAAUAUAUACUGAACUCCUAAGAGCAUCAGCAAUGGCUUCUUCAUCUUCAUUUUUAUUUUUAAAUUUGAAGAAUAUGUGCUUAAAAUCAUUCACAUUGGUUUAUUCAUCUCUAAAAUUAUAAAUAACUAGCUAGAGUCUUUAUUCAAACAUGAAGAACACCUUUUCAUUCUUCAAAUAAUAUUUUAAUUAUUUUUUCUCUCAACGUCCCGAACGGCUCUCUCUUUUAUUUCUUUUUCUCUGCUCUCUCUCUCUUCUCCUCUUCUUUCUCCAUCCCCGAACGCCUCCAUCUCCCUCCUUCUCUUUUCUCUUCUCUCUCCAUCGCCGAACGCUCUCCAUCGCCGAAUGCUCUCCAUCACCGAACGGCUCUCUCUUCUUCUCUUCUUCUCUCUCCAUCCGAACAGCUCUCUCUUCUUCUCUUCGCACCCAUUUCACCCCUCUGUCUCUCGCUGCUCUGUUUUCUCUCUUGGACGCCCACAAUUUUCUGGUGGUUUCUUCAUCAACGGCGGCCUCUUCUCUCGCUCACGGCUCUGCUCUUCACGGUUUUCUCUCGGUGCAAUUUAUUGAGGCUCUGAUUUGGGUUUUUUCUCUCGGAUUUACAUGCCUCUAGAUGUGGGUUGGAGGAUUUUUUUCUGAUUUGGGUUUUUUCUGGUUAUGUACUGGUGGUUGUUGCUGUGGAGCUGCCGAGGAGCUGAAUGGUGCUGCCGUGGAGCUGCUGUGGAGCUGCCGUGGGUUUGAAUGGUGCUGCCGAGUGCCGUGGAGCUGAAUAUUCAGAUUUUAGGAGAAAAAAAAAAUUAUAAUAAUAUUUUAUUAUUAUUUGGUCAAAAAAUACAUAAUCCAAUGUAGGAAUUUUUCUUCAUCUUCAAAAUCAAUCUUCAAAAGAUGUAAUUUUAAAGAUGAAGAUACAUAAACCAUUGCUAGUGCUCUAAGCAUAACAAAUAAAGACCCAUUUGCUACAGACGUAGAUUUCAUUGCAAAUAGACAUAAUCUUUUGCAAUGAAGUGUACCCUAUUUGCAACAAAUGUAUAUUUCAUUGCAAAUAAAACCCUAUUCGAUGAUGAACCCUAGUCUUAAUUGCUCGUGUAUUAGUCUUUUAUCAAUAUUAGAUAUGUUAGUUUGAUUGUUAUUUUCUCUUAUGUAAGACUAUUUGUAGCGAGAUAUAUUUGCUGCAAAUAGUUUUUUUCUGUCGCAAAAUAGCUAUUAGCAAUGAAAUGUACAUUUAGUUACAAAUA
Molecule: long non-coding RNA, 1894 nt
Organism: Carya illinoinensis
Lineage: Eukaryota; Viridiplantae; Streptophyta; Magnoliopsida; Fagales; Juglandaceae
Exons: 2
Source: RefSeq, a predicted model, not a curated record